UGCCUCCGCAUGUUUCCCCCGCCCCAAGCACCCCUGCAACCAAUGGGAUGCUGCGGGGGGCAGUGCCUGGGGGCAGAAGCACACGGAGGCCCCCUGGCCCGCCCUGCCUUGGAGCCCCAGACUAAAUCCUUUUAAUGCUGCCCUUUCUGAAGUCCAACUCCCAAAACAAACAAGUCCACUCCAGUGGCUGGAUGCUGAUUGGGGAAGAUCAUUCUGUCUGACCCCUGAAGAAGAAACACUUCAAAAGGUAGAUCAGAUGGGUGUUGCUAUGAAAGCAAAAGGUUUCUUCGUAAAUACAUUUGUGCUGCAUGAAGAAAGAAAGACAGCCUUGAAGUAUUUCCAAUGGAGUUUUCUGAUGAUCUGGAACCGCUACUGUGGGUGAAUUCACAGAUGAGCGCUGUGGCCUAUACACCACUGAAGUCCCACUUGAGCCCUAACAUGACAUAUACCUUUUGCUGGCUCGCUGCGGAGGAGUGAAGUUCACCUUGUGUCCUUACAUAACCCAUUUUUGACACACUAUAUUUGUAUUUGCAAAUUGUCCAUGAACUGUGGCCAUGUUUGUACAACAAAGAGCAACAAGGAUUUGUGGACUCUGCAAAGGGUCCAUGUAACAAAACCAGAUUAUAUUCUUUAUUCUUAGCUAAUUCA
Molecule: long non-coding RNA, 648 nt
Organism: Mauremys reevesii (Reeves's turtle)
Lineage: Eukaryota; Metazoa; Chordata; Testudines; Geoemydidae
Exons: 4
Source: RefSeq, a predicted model, not a curated record